GAGGGUAUAGCUCAGUGGUACAGUGCAUGGUUAGCAUGAAUGAGGUCCUGGGUUCAAUCUCCAGUACUUCCA
Molecule: transfer RNA, 72 nt
Filed under: Camelus bactrianus (Bactrian camel)
Lineage: Eukaryota; Metazoa; Chordata; Mammalia; Artiodactyla; Camelidae
Also listed under: 2 other names
Rfam family: tRNA
About the family: Transfer RNA (tRNA) molecules are approximately 80 nucleotides in length.
Source: Rfam by way of RNAcentral